UUUAAAUACAUAAAGGGAAUCAACACAGUAAGGGAGGAGACUAUUUUUAAAAGAAGAAAACCUACCACAACAAGAGGACAUAGUCUUAAAUUAGAGGGGCAAAGGUUUAAAAAUAAUAUAAGGAAGUAUUACAUUACUGAGAGGGUAGUGGAUGCAUGUAAUAGCCUUCCAGCUGAAGUGAUAGAGGUUAACACAGUGAAGGAGUUUAAGCAUGCUCGGGAUAGGCAU
This 228-nucleotide long non-coding RNA is filed under the name Pelobates cultripes (western spadefoot toad). The record is from RNAcentral. Lineage: Eukaryota; Metazoa; Chordata; Amphibia; Anura; Pelobatidae.